Molecule: ribosomal RNA, 497 nt
Filed under: uncultured bacterium
Lineage: Bacteria
Description: partial 16S ribosomal RNA
Rfam family: Bacterial small subunit ribosomal RNA
Source: RNAcentral
GAUGAACGCUGGCGGCGUGCCUAAUACAUGCAAGUCGAGCGAACAGACGAGGAGCUUGCUCCUCUGACGUUAGCGGCGGACGGGUGAGUAACACGUGGAUAACCUACCUAUAAGACUGGGAUAACUUCGGGAAACCGGAGCUAAUACCGGAUAAUAUAUUGAACCGCAUGGUUCAAUAGUGAAAGACGGUUUUGCUGUCACUUAUAGAUGGAUCCGCGCCGCAUUAGCUAGUUGGUAAGGUAACGGCUUACCAAGGCGACGAUGCGUAGCCGACCUGAGAGGGGGAUCGGCCACACUGGAACUGAGACACGGUCCAGACUACUACGGGAGGCAGCAGUAGGGAAUCUUCCGCAAUGGGCGAAAGCCUGACGGAGCAACGCCGCGUGAGUGAUGAAGGUCUUCGGAUCGUAAAACUCUGUUAUUAGGGAAGAACAAAUGUGUAAGUAACUAUGCACGUCUUGACGGUACCUAAUCAGAAAGCCACGGCUAACUACGUG